Molecule: ribosomal RNA, 200 nt
Filed under: uncultured bacterium
Lineage: Bacteria
Description: partial 16S ribosomal RNA
Rfam family: Bacterial small subunit ribosomal RNA
Source: RNAcentral
GAUGAACGCUAGCGGCAGGCCUAAUACAUGCAAGUCGAACGAGACUUGGUAGCAAUGUCAAGUUUAGUGGCGCACGGGUGCGUAACACGUAUGCAAUCUACCCUUUACUUAGGAAUAGCCCGGAGAAAUUCGGAUUAAUACCUAAUAAGAAGUUACUGUGGCAUCACAGAGAUUUUUAAAGAUUUAUCGGUAAAGGAUGA